GACGAACGCUGGCGGCAUGCCUAACACAUGCAAGUCGAACGGAGAAUUCCUUCGGGGAUUCUUAGUGGCGAACGGGUGAGUAACGCGUAGGCAACCUGCCCUUUGGAUGGGGACAACAUUCCGAAAGGAGUGCUAAUACCGAAUGUGACGAUUUUACCGCAUGGUUUAAUCGUGAAAGAUGGCCUCUACAUGUAAGCUAUCGCCAAAGGAUGGGCCUGCGUCUGAUUAGCUAGUUGGUGGGGUAACGGCUCACCAAGGCGACGAUCAGUAGCCGGUCUGAGAGGAUGAACGGCCACAUUGGGACUGAGACACGGCCCAGACUCCUACGGGAGGCAGCAGUGGGGAAUCUUCCGCAAUGGGCGAAAGCCUGACGGAGCAAUGCCGCGUGAGUGAUGAAGGUUUUCGGACCGUAAAGCUCUGUUGAGAGGGACGAGAGAUAUAAUCAGGAAAUGGGUUAUAGAGGACGGUACCUUUCGAGGGAAGCCACGGCUAACUACGUGCCAG
RNAcentral lists this ribosomal RNA (504 nucleotides) under uncultured bacterium. RNAcentral's name for it is "bacterial SSU rRNA". It matches the Rfam family "Bacterial small subunit ribosomal RNA", at positions 28 to 511 of the family's 1533-position model. The record is from RNAcentral.